Long non-coding RNA from Ictalurus punctatus (channel catfish), 1012 nucleotides. NCBI's taxonomy places the organism in Eukaryota, Metazoa, Chordata, Actinopteri, Siluriformes, Ictaluridae. The record is from Ensembl.
GGUUGGUUAGUUGGCGAGUGGGUGGUUCAGGAUGGUUUAAAGGAUUGUUGAUCAGUACGAUAGUGAUGUUUGCUGCUUGUAAUGAAACGGUUAUUGGUGGUUAUAAAGGUUAGAUGGUUACUUCAGAACUAGUUUGCUGCUUCCUUAGACUAGAGCCUAGUUAUAAUUCAUUUGUUGGAUGAUUAGUUAUUAAAUGAUUUAGACAGUUUAAGUUCUGUGGGUAAAUAGUGGGUUGUUAGUUAGACGGAUGGACACUGGGCUGGUUGACGGGUCACGUGGUUAUAUUGAGAUGAUUAGAUAGUUAUACGGUUAGAGUACGGGGUUAUCUCGGGUAGCCGGUUUGUUGAUGAGAUGUUUCUGGUUAGAUAACUAUGGUGUAAGUUAGUGGGUUAGACAGGGGGGUGUUUUGUUGUUGGACAGGGGUAGAAACGGAUGGUUAGACGGUUGGAAAUCUGGUUGUUACGUUUAACCGCGGUUAGUAACUAGGUGGAAGGUUAUUAGCUUCAGACAGUUAGAUGAUUACACAGGAGUUCUGGUCUUCGUUCUCAUUAGUAACUACUAAUCCGUCUGCUACAGCGGCGUAACGUCAGCGCAGGCGUUCAGGUUUCGGUACUAACGCAGAACGCUCCGCCUCACUUCACCACAAACACGCAGCGACGCAGAUCCGCAGCCCUGCUGCUACGGCCUGGAGGAGCAGAACGCGAGCCGGCGACGGUGUUCUCGGACCGCCCGGCGUUGCGGAUGGGCUUCAGCGAGGCUGUAGCAGGGUGUUCUUCAGAGUAUUAGUCACCCCACACCCCACCCCCCACCCCCGGAGUUCUCGUUAGCACACUUUGAAUACUGACCACGGAUUUCUUUCGGUUUCGGACCUUUCUUGCACUCGACGGAGAAUCUGAGAGCUGUCAGAUACGCCAGGAAAAAUACUGUAUUUAAUAAUGUGCAUAAUAGGCUUUAUUAUAAUCAGACGUUGUAUUAUAAGUUUAUUUAAUUUGAUAGGCUAAUAAAAUAUUUC